ACAAUAGUCUACCCUAUAAUUCACCAACUCACUCUUAUACCUACAUUACUCAUUCAUCAAAUCCAACGGACCAGAAUAUCUCCCGAUCAUCUAACGGUCUAGAUCACUCCUCCUCCCCCGCGUGUGUGUUCUCUCCCCAAAACCCGCUCGCUCCCUCCUUCGCCCAACCGGCGCGCCUCCCAAACCCUAAUCGUCGCACCGCCUCUCCGGCGCCUCCAUCCCCUCCUCCUCGCCGUACUGCCUUCACAUCGUCGCCGUCGCUCCUCCUCCCCCUACUGCAUCCCUCUUGCGGCCGUCACCAAAUCCCUAUUGCUCAAAGGACGAACAAAAAGAAUUAGAGCGAACAAAAAGAAUUAGAGAGAUGGGGAUUGGGAUCAAGAGACAGAUCAGUAAGGACCGACAAGCCAGAUUCGUCGACAGAUCACAACCGAUUUUUGGGUUUGAUGUCUUCCAUUUGAUUUUUGGCGCUCCUCCCUCCUUGCUCCGAUCUGGCCUAAGUGUUGCCGCCCGAUUUUCGUGGUCGAUCCCGGCACCAGCCCCUUCCUCCGGCCGUGUGUGAGUCCGACAUUCCAAGUCCCCGCGGUCGGAUUUCUCAACCCCGGCAUCGGCCUCGCACUGCAACAAGAGCAUGCAAGCCUAGAUGAGUACAUGGAGAAAUGGUUUGGACUGGAUCAAUACUGGGCAUGCAACAAAUUACUGCGACAGCACGGGCAAAGGUUAAUUAAGCUUGCCUUGCGUUCUUUACUGAAUGGUUUAUGCAUCUGUUUAGGUUUUAUGAUUACAAUUUUGAGUUUGCAAAUGUUUCAGUAGUUUUACUCAAUGCCCUGUAACCAAUCCUGUAUUUGAUCCAAUUUAGUAAUUUACGCAAUUGAGUUUAGAAUAGUUUCACAAAUCAAUUCGGAGUCAAACUAUCAAUUGUUUUUGGUGUUUCAGGUCUUCAGACUGAAGUUUUAGAGUAGCUUCAUCAAAUUUUUGAAAGCUUUCAGAGUGAUUGAGGAGGUAGCCAUCUUUGCCCUCCUUGUUUCAGGAUUGAGUAUAUGAGAGACUGAAGAUAAGGAGGAUUUGUGCAUGAAAAAUAUUGCAGAAUUACUUAGUAUAGAAUUACAUACAUAGUAAUAAAAUUCUCUAAAAGAUACUAUCAAACGAUUAGCUCUACUAACUUUCUUCCUUGCAGGAGGCACAAUUAGCGGUGCAUCUCUCAUGCUCUGUGUUACUUCUUUUGAUAAGAUAAACUACAGUGAGAAAUUAUUUUCAUGAUAAAAUGUGCAAAAUUCCAUAUGUAGAUUGUAUUUUGCUUCAUACUGUUUUGCAUGUUCAAGAAUUAAUUGUAUUGUUAUUUACUUCCUCAAGUCAUAGAAAAAUCCUUAUAUGAAAAAGGAAUAUGACAAAUUAAGGAAAGUGUGUUAUACCAGACCAUAUUCAUGCUUCUAUGUUAAUCUUGUCAAUAUUGGAAAGCCUGGAGGUUAGUGCUAACUAAUAUAAUGCCUUUUUCACCCUUACCGAGUUUUGUGCCCAUGCAUCUAUUAUAGAUUACCGAGAUAUACUGAGCAAUCAGUAUUAGAGUUUGACCAGUUCAAAGGGCACUGAUGUUGAUAUUCAAGACAAGGAUUGAUUACCUCCACAUAAAAACGCAGACAAGUCUAGGCUUUAUGUGGAGUGCUCCAUGGUUACUGAUAACUCCAAUGCUAACAUAUCUUCUGAAGAUGUUGAUUUUUCGAAAUGUAAGGUAUAUUUCAGUCCCCUUAGCUCUCCGAGAUAUGUUGUAUGGCACAGUGAAAAAGCAUCUGAUGAACUCACUUCAGAUUGUUUAUUUUCAAGAUAGCUGAAUGCCUGAACCUUCAACUUGACUCAAGUAUGAGUCUGUAGUAGGUUUCAAAAGUGAAGGUUUUAUUAUAGACUAGAAAGAGUUACUUCUUAUUUUACAGUAUUCUGCUUUGAUUGGUAUAUAUUUUCCAGUGCAACAGAAAAGUGCAUCAAACCACAAUGUGUUUUGUAUAUAUAUAGCUGCAGCUUUGAUUUGAGACAUUGGAGAGUCAUGAUAGUUUGAUCAUUAACUACAUUUUAAAAAUGUAAAAUGUAUAAAAUAUACAACAUUGUAAUUUUACCCCUUGUGACGCGGGUUCCACGUGCACACAAAUGGUUUCUCUUUGUUUAUUUGCAUAUUCCACAUAAGUCCUCCAUAUUUGGUGAUUCAUUGGUUCAUAAAUUACAAUAUAUAUGUAGAAACUUUAGUCAUAUAUGUGCAUAUAAUUGUAAGUGAAAUGACAAGACAUGUAAUUUUUUGGGCAAAAUUUAGCUAUAUCGGCUGUUUCCCGUUGUUUAUUUCUACACAUAGAUGAAAACACCGAUCAUCUGACUUUGAUUACGAAUGUAUUAAAUGAGCGUCAAUUUUAGUUCAGAGGUUCAUUCGUUAGUCAUCCAAGCAAGUCCACCUUGCUUAUCACAGAAGUUUAUCUUCAAGUAUGAAAUGACCAAUAUUCUUUUUUUGUGUAAAUACAAAUAACUACAGUGACAAUAUACAUUUUGGUUGUUUUGUAGGACCACAUCAAGCGGAAUGGAUGGCUUAAGUCAAGCUAAUUUUAGAUAUUUAUUAUUUUGUAUAUUUGAGAGGAGCAAUACCUGUACUUUAUAGCAUAGCAAGGGACGGCUUGUUCCUAGAUGGUAUUGUGGAUACAUGCUGAUUAAUUUUUUUCUAAUAACUCUAUCGCUCUUUUAGCCUAACUAUCUGUUCUAUGUACCGUUGAUGAAACAUAU
Non-coding RNA from Oryza sativa Japonica Group (Japanese rice), 2754 nucleotides. The record is from RefSeq and is a predicted model, not a curated record. Lineage: Eukaryota; Viridiplantae; Streptophyta; Magnoliopsida; Poales; Poaceae.